GACGAACGCUGGCGGCGUGCUUAACACAUGCAAGUCGAACGGAAAGGCCCUGCUUUUGUGGGGUGCUCGAGUGGCGAACGGGUGAGUAACACGUGAGUAACCUGCCCUUGACUUUGGGAUAACUUCAGGAAACUGGGGCUAAUACCGGAUAGGAGCUCCUGCUGCAUGGUGGGGGUUGGAAAAUUUCGGCGGUUGGGGAUGGACUCGCGGCUUAUCAGCUUGUUGGUGGGGUAGUGGCUUACCAAGGCUUUGACGGGUAGCCGGCCUGAGAGGGUGACCGGCCACAUUGGGACUGAGAUACGGCCCAGACUCCUACGGGAGGCAGCAGUGGGGAAUAUUGCACAAUGGACGGAAGCCUGAUGCAGCAACGCCGCGUGCGGGAUGACGGCCUUCGGGUUGUAAACCGCUUUCGCCUGUGACGAAGCGUGAGUGACGGUAAUGGGUAAAGAAGCACCGGCUAACUACGUG
RNAcentral lists this ribosomal RNA (468 nucleotides) under uncultured bacterium. RNAcentral describes it as "partial 16S ribosomal RNA". It matches the Rfam family "Bacterial small subunit ribosomal RNA", at positions 28 to 507 of the family's 1533-position model. The record is from RNAcentral.